AGAGUUGAUCUGGCUCAGAUGAACGCUGGCGGCAGGCCUAACACAUGCAAGUCGGACGGUAGCACAGAGAGCUUGCUCUUGGGUGACGAGUGGCGGACGGGUGAGUAAUGUCUGGGGAUCUGCCCGAUAGAGGGGGGAUAACCACUGGAAACGGUGGCUAAUACCGCAUAACGUCGCAAGACCAAAGAGGGGGACCUUCGGGCCUCUCACUAUCGGAUGAACCCAGAUGGGAUUAGCUAGUAGGCGGGGUAAUGGCCCACCUAGGCGACGAUCCCUAGCUGGUCUGAGAGGAUGACCAGCCACACUGGAACUGAGACACGGUCCAGACUCCUACGGGAGGCAGCAGUGGGGAAUAUUGCACAAUGGGCGCAAGCCUGAUGCAGCCAUGCCGCGUGUAUGAAGAAGGCCUUCGGGUUGUAAAGUACUUUCAGCGGGGAGGAAGGCGGUGAGGUUAAUAACCUUACCGAUUGACGUUACCCGCAGAAGAAGCACCGGCUAACUCCGUGCCAGCCGCCGC
This 517-nucleotide ribosomal RNA is filed under the name uncultured bacterium. RNAcentral describes it as "bacterial SSU rRNA". It matches the Rfam family "Bacterial small subunit ribosomal RNA", at positions 8 to 518 of the family's 1533-position model. The record is from RNAcentral.